UUCCUCCACUCUGGGGCUAGAGCCCAGCAGUGCUGCCACCUGGCUCGCCUGCUCCGUCACGGGGCUCUGCCCCAUGCGCCGGGGGGCAGACACCCCCCCCCCCAUGCCGGCCCCUGCACCGCGAGGCGCCUCCCGCGACGGUGCCGCUCGUGCCCGAGCGCGGUGGGAGCCGCGGUGGGGAGAGGGGAGAGGUUUAAUCGGGCUUUGCCGGGUGCUGUGGGGCUCUUCCCGGGAAGAUGCUGCCUGCGGAGUGCUGAGCGAUGUUCCUGUUGGCCUGGCCCCGGGCGGGAGCAGUCCAGCGUGAGGUUGAAGCCCUACCAGCUCCCAGAGGACAUUUCACCCACUCUCCGCCGCUCUGAGUGAUUGCACAAGACAGCGGCAGCGCAUCAGGGCCAGCGGUUGCCUCUGGUCCCCAGUGGCGCAGCGUUUGAGCGGCUGGCAAACGUCAGAGGCACUGACCCAGUGAGAAAUGGGCUGGAUUCGAUGCUCCCCAGUGCGGCGGGGGUUCCCUGCCCUCGCACAUCGUUCGGAGCUGGGCGCGAGGUGCUGGCUUAGGGCACGGCCUCAGCUGAGGCAGCAGCAGCCUGCUGUGACGUGCUGAAUCCAUCCGAAAUGACUCAUUUUCUGAUGGUAGCAGGCGAUGGGUGAAUAGCUGGGACCAUUGCCUGCCUGGAUUUCUGUGCCGGGAUCUUUGCAGAGAGGCAGCCCUUUUCUUGGGCCGCACUUCCCUCUGGUGGAAGGCCGUAAAGAAGCAGCCCCUUCCUGGCUGGUGCCUUCCACGAAGAGAUUUAAUUUAAUGGGAAUAGCGAAACAACCCCCAAGCCCAGAGCGGGUCCAUCAGUCCUUGAGUUUUCACAUACAGGAAAAGAAACGGCCAAGCGUCAGGCAAUAAAAAUGUGAAGUGGCA
Molecule: long non-coding RNA, 907 nt
Organism: Rhea pennata
Lineage: Eukaryota; Metazoa; Chordata; Aves; Rheiformes; Rheidae
Exons: 3
Source: RefSeq, a predicted model, not a curated record